Molecule: long non-coding RNA, 842 nt
Organism: Populus euphratica (Euphrates poplar)
Lineage: Eukaryota; Viridiplantae; Streptophyta; Magnoliopsida; Malpighiales; Salicaceae
Exons: 3
Source: RefSeq, a predicted model, not a curated record
UUGUUUUUGAAAAAAAAAAAAAACAGAUUCGCAUGGGAUUAUAGAGUAUAUUGCUAAUUGCUAAUGUAUGGUUUUCAAUGAUAGUAUAAAAGGUGUAUUCUUUAAAGGCGGUGGGGUAGCAUCAUCAGCAAAUAUAAAGAAAGCAUUAAUGGAAAAAACGGCUUUCGUUAUUGUCUAGCUCUUCUAGUCUGCUUAAGGAAAGAGAGAAAAUGAAAUCAUCUAUGCCAUGAUAAUUGUUACGCGAAAAAUGAAUAUACGAAUCUAAAACGAUUUUCAGAAGGUGAAAGAGGAAAGGAUAUAGAGGUAUUUUGGCAGAAACUAUAUGGCCGAUGAACACGAAGAUGAGAACACAGAGAGUAACUUGUCAAGCAUUCAAAACGUUUCUGCUUUCUUUAUUUCUUAAGGGGAAGACCUCAUGCUAGAUGAGGUUAGAACUUGAUGUGGACGGAGAGGCCAGCAGCCAGCAGCCAGUAGCCACUCGCCAGUGAAAACAUGGAAGAAGUUUAUCCUCUCCCCCGCUCAAGAACAAAUUUUGACCCCACCAAGCAGGAAAAGAAGGGUAGAAGAAAGUGAAGGGGGACAUGUCGUGACUUGUGAAGCGCGUUGAUAGGAUAAGUGCGUAGUGGUGGAGGUGGAGUUCGGCUUGUUCGUUAUUAGGGGCCGUCUGAUCGUGGUCGUUAUCGUGAUCGUGAUCGAAGAAGGUGGCUAAUGACAAGAAUAUUGCCGCGUGGUCCGGACAUUUUUUAAGUGACAAAUCUACCCUUUUCCCCUUUCAGUCAGAUUGCUAAUUUGCAGGGACGCGUUUGGGUGAGUUGAUUAGCGGGUUGUUUGGCGGAAUUCGG